Molecule: ribosomal RNA, 557 nt
Filed under: uncultured bacterium
Lineage: Bacteria
Description: bacterial SSU rRNA
Rfam family: Bacterial small subunit ribosomal RNA
Source: RNAcentral
AAUAGAUACCCGGGUAGUCCACGCCCUAAACUAUGUCAACUAGUUGUCGGGGAAGAAAUUCCUUGGUAACGCAGCUAACGCGUGAAGUUGACCGCCUGGGGAGUACGGCCGCAAGGUUAAAACUCAAAGGAAUUGACGGGGACCCGCACAAGCGGUGGAUUAUGUGGAUUAAUUCGAUGCAACGCGAAAAACCUUACCUACCCUUGACAUGUACGGAAUUCCGCAGAGAUGUGGAAGUGCCCGAAAGGGAACCGUAACACAGGUGCUGCAUGGCUGUCGUCAGCUCGUGUCGUGAGAUGUUGGGUUAAGUCCCGCAACAAGCGCAACCCUUGCCAUUAGUUGCUACAUUCAGUUGGGCACUCUAAUGGGACCGCCGGUGACAAACCGGAGGAAGGUGGGGAUGACGUCAAGUCCUCACGGCCCUUAUGGGUAGGGCUUCACACGUAAUACAAUGGUCGGUACAGAGGGCUGCCAACCCGCAAGGGGGAGCUAAUCCCAGAAAGCCGAUCGUAGUCCGGAUUGUAGUCUGCAACUCGACUGCAUGAAGCCGGAAUCGC